Molecule: ribosomal RNA, 497 nt
Filed under: uncultured bacterium
Lineage: Bacteria
Description: partial 16S ribosomal RNA
Rfam family: Bacterial small subunit ribosomal RNA
Source: RNAcentral
GAUGAACGCUGGCGGCGUGCCUAAUACAUGCAAGUCGAGCGAACGGACGAGAAGCUUGCUUCUCUGAUGUUAGCGGCGGACGGGUGAGUAACACGUGGAUAACCUACCUAUAAGACUGGGAUAACUUCGGGAAACCGGAGCUAAUACCGGAUAAUAUUUUGAACCGCAUGGUUCAAAAGUGAAAGACGGCCUUGCUGUCACUUAUAGAUGGAUCCGCGCUGCAUUAGCUAGUUGGUAAGGUAACGGCUUACCAAGGCAACGAUGCAUAGCCGACCGGAGAGAGUGAUCGGCCACAUGGGAACUGGGCCACGGUCCAGACUCCUACGGGAGGCAGCAGUAGGGAACCUUCCGCAAUGGGCGAAAGCCUGACGGAGCAACGCCGCGUGAGUGAUGAAGGUCUUCGGAUCGUAAAACUCUGUUAUUAGGGAAGAACAGAUGUGUAAGUAACUGUGCACAGCUUGACGGUACCUAAACAGAAAGCCACGGCUAACUACGUG